This is a non-coding RNA of Cavia porcellus (domestic guinea pig), 537 nucleotides long. The record is from the annotation of a RefSeq genome assembly. NCBI's taxonomy places the organism in Eukaryota, Metazoa, Chordata, Mammalia, Rodentia, Caviidae.
CCUGCUGAUUUGCAUGUCCCAGGAGUACAGCCCAUAGCCUUCAAAAAUUUUUAAUAGGCUGCUCACACCCUAGGCAGGAGUCAAUCCCAGUCAGGACACAGCAUGGACAUGAGGGUCCUCACUCAGCUUCUGGGGCUCCUGCUGCUCUGGCUACCAGGUGGCCAAUGUGACAUCCAGUUGACCCAGUCUCCCUCUGUGUCUGCGUCUUUAGGAGAGAAAGUCACCAUGACUUGCAAAGCCAGCCAGGGUAUUAGCAAUUACUUACACUGGUAUCAGCAGAAACCUGGCCAAACUCCUAAACUCUUAAUCCGUUAUGCAACCACUUUGCAGUCUGGUAUCCCCUCCAGGUUCAGUGGCAGUGGAUCUGGGACAGAUUUCACUCUUGCCAUCAGCAGCCUGCAGCCUGAAGAUGUUGCGACCUAUUACUGUCAGCAGAGUAGCAAUUUGCCUCCCACAGUGAUGCAAACCAUAACAAAAACUUCUCAGAGAAGCAGAAGUGUGAAACCAGGCUGCCCCUGUGUCUCUAUCUUGUGACCU